RNAcentral lists this ribosomal RNA (440 nucleotides) under uncultured bacterium. RNAcentral's name for it is "partial 16S ribosomal RNA". It matches the Rfam family "Bacterial small subunit ribosomal RNA", at positions 338 to 795 of the family's 1533-position model. The record is from RNAcentral.
CCUACGGGAGGCAGCAGUAGGGAAUCUUCCUCAAUGGGGGAAACUCUGACGCAGCAACGCCGCGUGGAGGAUGAAGGUUUUAGGAUCGUAAACUCCUUUUGUUAGAGAAGAUUAUGACGGUAUCUAACGAAUAAGCACCGGCUAACUCCGUGCCAGCAGCCGCGGUAAUACGGAGGGGGCAAGCGUUACUCGGAAUCACUGGGCGUAAAGAGUGCGUAGGCGGGGUAAUAAGUCAGAUGUGAAAUCCCGUAGCUUAACUACAGAACUGCAUUUGAAACUGUUACUCUGGAGUGUGGGAGAGGUAGGUGGAAUUCUUGGUGUAGGGGUAAAAUCCGUAGAGAUCAAGAGGAAUACUCAUUGCGAAGGCGACCUGCUGGAACAUUACUGACGCUGAUGCACGAAAGCGUGGGGAGCAAACAGGAUUAGAUACCCCAGUAGUC